UUAUAAUUCUACGUACCUGGGG
This 22-nucleotide microRNA is filed under the name Octopus bimaculoides (California two-spot octopus). RNAcentral describes it as "Obi-Mir-12570_3p (mature (guide))". The record is from RNAcentral. Lineage: Eukaryota; Metazoa; Mollusca; Cephalopoda; Octopoda; Octopodidae.